Molecule: long non-coding RNA, 118 nt
Organism: Anneissia japonica
Lineage: Eukaryota; Metazoa; Echinodermata; Crinoidea; Comatulida; Comatulidae
Exons: 2
Source: RefSeq, a predicted model, not a curated record
GAGCAUCACAGUAUUGUGCAACUCAUAUAUAAGAGCCAAGUGGAGUUAGUUUGACCAUGGUCAGAGGAGUACAGCUUGAACUCCAACGACAGGCUUAAGACUUAAGAAGAAAUUGAAG